Eucalyptus grandis is the source of this 268-nucleotide long non-coding RNA. RefSeq lists it as uncharacterized. The record is from RefSeq and is a predicted model, not a curated record. NCBI's taxonomy places the organism in Eukaryota, Viridiplantae, Streptophyta, Magnoliopsida, Myrtales, Myrtaceae. The transcript has 4 exons.
UGUGGACAGUCUUGGAAAGGAAUCACUUGCUCGGGCUCCCGGGUCACUGAAAUUAAAUUACCGGGUCUUGGCCUCUCUGGGUCGUCAAUUGGUUACAAGCUUCAAAGCCUGACAUGAGUGACAAAUCUAGAUCUCAGCAAUAACAAUCUUGGAGGACAGCUACCUUAUGGAGUUCCUCCAAAUGUACAAAGAUUAUUGAGAAAGGUGACACUGGAGCAGAUAUCAUGGCACUUUUUCUUAUUGUGCUGAUAGAUGUCGAGAUGUAACU